This 541-nucleotide ribosomal RNA is filed under the name uncultured bacterium. RNAcentral's name for it is "bacterial SSU rRNA". It matches the Rfam family "Bacterial small subunit ribosomal RNA", at positions 355 to 896 of the family's 1533-position model. The record is from RNAcentral.
UGAGGAAUAUUGGUCAAUGGUCGGAAGACUGAACCAGCCAUGCCGCGUGCAGGAAGAAUGCCUUAUGGGUUGUAAACUGCUUUUAUAUGGGAAGAAUAAGGUGUACGUGUACAUUGAUGACGGUACCAUAUGAAUAAGCAUCGGCUAACUCCGUGCCAGCAGCCGCGGUAAUACGGAGGAUGCGAGCGUUAUUCGGAAUCAUUGGGUUUAAAGGGUCUGUAGGCGGGCUAUUAAGUCAGAGGUGAAAGGUUUCAGCUUAACUGAGAAAUUGCCUUUGAUACUGGUAGUCUUGAAUAUCUGUGAAGUUCUUGGAAUGUGUAGUGUAGCGGUGAAAUGCUUAGAUAUUACACAGAACACCGAUUGCGAAGGCAGCUUACUAAGGUACAACUGACGCUGAAGCACGAAAGCGUGGGUAUCAAACAGGAUUAGAUACCCUGGUAGUCCACGCAGUAAACGAUGAUAACUGGGCGUACGCGAUAUACAGUAUGCUCCUAAGCGAAAGCGUUAAGUUAUCCACCUGGGGAGUACGCCGGCAACGGUG